AAAACAACAGGGAUUCCCUAGUAACGGCGAGUGAAGCGGGAAGAGCUCAAAUUUGAAAUCGUGUCAGGGAGACCUGGUCGCGAGUUGUAGUUUGAUGGGGUAUGCUUGGUGGGCGCCUAGGUCUAAGUCCCUUGGAAAAGGGUAUCAUAGAGGGUGACAAUCCCGUCUGUGGCCUAGUCAGCGGUCCACCGUGUAAGCUACCUUCAAAGAGUCGGGUUGUUUGGGAAUGCAGCCCUAAGCUGGUGGUAAAUUCCAUCUAAAGCUAAAUAUCCGUGAGAGACCGAUAGCGAACAAGUACCGUGAGGGAAAGUUGAAAAGCACUCUGGAGAGAGAGUCAAACAGCACGUGAAAUUGUUAACAGGGAAACGUUGGGCACCAGUACGCGCCUCGCGUGAAAUCAACCAUCCUUUCCCCGAGGGUUUGCCCCGGUGGAGUGAGCCUUAACCAGCCGCUUGCCGGGGCGUGCCCGAGGGGGGUGGUGCACUUUUGCGUGGGCGGGUCAACAUCGGUUAGGACCGUCGUAAACGGCCCUGGGGAAGGUAGGUUCCGCCCUUGUGGUGGAUCAACUUAUAGCCCCGGGGAUUGCCUACGGUGAUCUUGACCGUGGAUUCGCGAUCCGUGCUCCCCUCGGGGGGCAGGUCCCUUUGGCCCUCGUUGGUCCCCUUGGCCUAGGCAGCUUGCUGACUAGGUCGGGUGUGGAUUGCGAUGUCAGGCCGGAGUAGGGCUCUAACGGGUCACGGACGUUGGCGAAAUGGUUCUCAACGACCCGUCUUGAAACACGGACCAAGGAGUCUAACAUGUGUGCGAGUAUUUGGGUGCUAAACCCGGAUGCGCAAUGAAAGUGACCACAGGGGGGAAGGGUAGGCUCUUUACGGGGCCUGCCCCGCACCCUCGACCGAUCUGAUUGCCCUCGUGGCGAC
This 920-nucleotide ribosomal RNA is filed under the name uncultured fungus. RNAcentral's name for it is "LSU rRNA". It matches the Rfam family "Eukaryotic large subunit ribosomal RNA", at positions 62 to 789 of the family's 3401-position model. Lineage: Eukaryota; Fungi. The record is from RNAcentral.